This 390-nucleotide unclassified non-coding RNA is filed under the name soil metagenome. RNAcentral describes it as "partial contains 5.8S ribosomal RNA, internal transcribed spacer 2, and large subunit ribosomal RNA". The stretch from base 1 to 120 matches the Rfam family "5.8S ribosomal RNA", at positions 35 to 154 of the family's 154-position model. The record is from RNAcentral.
GAUGAAGAACGUAGUGAAAUGCGAUAAGUAGUGUGAAUUGCAGAAUUACCUGAAUCAUCGAAUCUUUGAACGCACCUUGCGCUCCUUGGUAUUCCGAGGAGCAUGCCUGUUUGAGUGUCAUUAAAUUCUCAACCUUUCCAGCUUUUGCGAGUUUGGAUUGGCUUGGAUGUGGAGGUUUGCAGGCUUCUCAGAAGUCAGCUCCUCUUAAAUGCAUUAGCGGAACCUUUGUGGACCAGCUUUGGUGUGAUAAUUAUCUAUGCCAUGGUUGUGAAGCAGUUUUUAUAUGGGGUUCAGCUUCUAACAGUCCAUUGACUUGGACAAUUUCUGACAUUUUGACCUCAAAUCAGGUAGGACUACCCGCUGAACUUAAGCAUAUCAAUAAGCGGAGGA